ACACUGGUGAUUCAAUGGUAGAAUUCUUGCCUUCCAUGAGGGAGAUCCAGGUUCGAUUUCAGGCCAAUGUA
Molecule: transfer RNA, 71 nt
Filed under: Loxodonta africana (African savanna elephant)
Lineage: Eukaryota; Metazoa; Chordata; Mammalia; Proboscidea; Elephantidae
Rfam family: tRNA
About the family: Transfer RNA (tRNA) molecules are approximately 80 nucleotides in length.
Source: Rfam by way of RNAcentral